This 152-nucleotide unclassified non-coding RNA is filed under the name uncultured Pleosporales. Its description in RNAcentral is "sequence contains ITS2". Lineage: Eukaryota; Fungi; Ascomycota; Dothideomycetes; Pleosporales. The record is from RNAcentral.
AAACCUUCAAGCAUUGCUUGGUGUUGGGUGCUGUUUCCGCCGCUGUGCGAAACUCGCCCCGAAUACAUUGGCAACCAGCCAUUGGGUGUUGGAGCGCAGCACAUUUUGCGUUCCUGGCCACAGUGGGCGGUGUCCAGAAAGCUUAUUUUAAC